Molecule: long non-coding RNA, 235 nt
Filed under: Lathyrus oleraceus (garden pea)
Lineage: Eukaryota; Viridiplantae; Streptophyta; Magnoliopsida; Fabales; Fabaceae
Description: Pisum sativum (pea) long non-coding RNA (PSAT_LNC016183)
Source: RNAcentral
AGUUUGAAAACAAGAAAGUUUUGAAAUCAAAGAGAGAAGAUUUUGAAAAUUAAAGAAGGGGAAGAGAAGAAGAGACUAUCCUAUUGCAUAAAGUAAAAUCUAGGGAGGAAAUAUCUAACCAAGAGAUAUCAAGCUUUAUGACAUAAGUCAAGCAAGAAUUCCCUCCUUUGGAUUAAGCCUAAAGCAAGCCAAAUAAACAAAGAAUGAUCCAUGUAUCAGAUGAAACCAAGAUAAC